GAAAUGCGAUAAGUAAUGUGAAUUGCAGAAUUCAGUGAAUCAUCGAAUCUUUGAACGCACCUUGCGCCCUUUGGUAUUCCGAAGGGCAUGCCUGUUUGAGUGUCAUUAAAUUAUCAACCUUAAGACUUGCGUCUUCAAGGCUUGGAUGUGAGGGCUUGCUGGCUUCCUUCAGUGGACGGUCUGCUCCCUUUAAAUGCAUUAGUGGGAUCUCUUGUGGACCGUCACUUGGUGUGAUAAUUAUMUAUGCCAUUUGACUUUGAAGCAAACUAAUGGGAACCUGCUUAUAACCGUCCCUUCGGGACAACUUAUUGACAAUUUGACCUCAAAUCAGGUAAGACUACCCGCUGAACUUAA
RNAcentral lists this ribosomal RNA (354 nucleotides) under Corticiaceae sp. 220-545. Its description in RNAcentral is "eukaryotic LSU rRNA". The stretch from base 1 to 105 matches the Rfam family "5.8S ribosomal RNA", at positions 50 to 154 of the family's 154-position model. Lineage: Eukaryota; Fungi; Basidiomycota; Agaricomycetes; Corticiales; Corticiaceae. The record is from RNAcentral.